GUGCUGUAAGGAGCUAUUCACAGGGCUUGUCCCAGUGACAGCAGACACCCGAUACUCGCAGGCUGGGUCUUGUAAGCUCAUACUUUUUAUCAAGGAGAGGUGCAGGGAGAAUUUGCUGCUUCAAAGACUUUUCCCACAGCAACGGAGCUAUGAGCUCGUGCUGUUUGCAGCCAGACGCUGAUGCUCUGUGCAGUGAGAUGGAGGUGCCUGGAGGAGUGGCUGGGUGGCUGGAGAAGCUGCGUGAGGACAUCGAGUCUGAAGCCAAGAACCUGGGGUAUUUUGAGUGAAGUCAGUGGAAAGUCUCCCAGUGGCUUCAACAGAAGUUACAUCAAGCACCGAUCAGAACGUGGAUCCAUGCGAAUGACAGCCAUUUCUGGAACAUCCUCCCUUGAACAAAAAGUACAGUCACUUUAGUGACAGAGCGUGCAGGAACAGCUCCUGAGGGUGACUUCUCAGCCUUGCAUGAGUAGGAAGAAAAAAUAUGGUACUAGUAUUUCUCACAGCAAGUUGCCAGGUAAACAACCAUUAGACAUAUUUCAUCGUACAGAAAUCAAUUCUAUGUAAGACACAUACAAACAUUCUCAGUUGCUGCUUGCAGGAC
RNAcentral lists this long non-coding RNA (601 nucleotides) under Numida meleagris (helmeted guineafowl). RNAcentral describes it as "lncRNA (ENSNMEG00000014369.1)". Lineage: Eukaryota; Metazoa; Chordata; Aves; Galliformes; Numididae. The record is from RNAcentral.